UUUCCUCUAUGUAUUAAUCGGAUUUUUGAACUUGGAGUAUGGUGCUGGAGCUUGCUCCACCCUGCUCACGGGUUGUCCUGGUAUUGCAGUACCUCCAGGUUCGGCUCACGUUUC
Ciona savignyi (Pacific transparent sea squirt) is the source of this 114-nucleotide non-coding RNA. NCBI's taxonomy places the organism in Eukaryota, Metazoa, Chordata, Ascidiacea, Phlebobranchia, Cionidae. The record is from Rfam.